Molecule: non-coding RNA, 291 nt
Organism: Biomphalaria pfeifferi
Lineage: Eukaryota; Metazoa; Mollusca; Gastropoda; Planorbidae
Source: the annotation of a GenBank genome assembly
GUACAAACAAAAGGUGUUUUAUUAGUCUGAAAACAAAAACCCAGCCAUGAAGUGAAUAAAUGCAAUGUUGGCAAUGGCUCUAUAAAUAGGUGUCACACCACGAAACACAUAUGAAAGACAUGUAAAUGUUUACAUCACAACUUUGCUAGGCAGAAAUCUACAGCACACGCUGGCUCUAUCUACACACUUUCACUGCAUUACAAUAGUUUUUUAAAAAACAACAUCAACAACAACUCUAGUCAAAGUGCUUUAGAUAGUAUUGCUAAUAAUACAUAUGUAGUCCUUUAAAAG